This 301-nucleotide ribosomal RNA is filed under the name uncultured bacterium. RNAcentral describes it as "partial 16S ribosomal RNA". It matches the Rfam family "Bacterial small subunit ribosomal RNA", at positions 509 to 807 of the family's 1533-position model. The record is from RNAcentral.
CAGCAGCCGCGGGAAUACGUAGGGUGCGAGCGUUAAUCGGAAUUACUGGGCGUAAAGCGUGCGCAGGCGGUUGUGUAAGACAGGUGUGAAAUCCCCGGGCUUAACCUGGGAACUGCGCUUGUGACUGCACAGCUAGAGUGUGGCAGAGGGGGGUGGAAUUCCACGUGUAGCAGUGAAAUGCGUAGAGAUGUGGAGGAACACCGAUGGCGAAGGCAGCCCCCUGGGCCAAUACUGACGCUCAUGCACGAAAGCGUGGGGAGCAAACAGGAUUAGAUACCCCGGUAGUCCCUGUCUCUUAUAC